This 563-nucleotide ribosomal RNA is filed under the name uncultured marine eukaryote. Its description in RNAcentral is "SSU rRNA". It matches the Rfam family "Eukaryotic small subunit ribosomal RNA", at positions 1 to 565 of the family's 1831-position model. The record is from RNAcentral.
AACCUGGUUGAUCCUGCCAGUAGUCAUAUGCUUGUCUCAAAGAUCAAGCCAUGCAUGUCUCAGUAUAAGUCUUUAUAUGGCGAAACUGCGAAUGGCUCAUUAAAACAGUUAUAGUUUACAUGAUUGUCAACUGUUAUACGGAUAACUGUGGUAAUUCUAGAGCUAAUACGUGCAUAAAGACCCGACUUCAAGGAAGGGUUGUAUUUAUUAGAUACAGAACCAAUCCGGCUUGCCGGUUUUUGGAUGAUUCAUAAUAAAUGAACGGAGCGUAUGGCAUGCGCCGACGCUGUGUCAUUCAAGUUUCUGACCUAUCAGCUUCCGACGGUAGGGUAUUGGCCUACCGUGGCAUUGACGGGUAACGGAGAAUUAGGGUUCGAUUCCGGAGAGGGAGCCCGAGAAACGGCUACCACAUCUAAGGAAGGCAGCAGGCGCGCAAAUUACCCAAUCCUGAUACAGGGAGGUAGUGACAAGAAAUAACAAUGUAAGUGCCAACUGGCAUUUUACUAUUGGAAUGAGUAGAAUUUAAGUCUCUUUUCGACUAUCAAUUGGAGGGCAAGUCUGGU